ACCGUACUAAAAAAAUAUCAAAAUGUUCCUGGGUCACCCAACCUUCAAAUCUCAGACUCACUGCCAUAGUCUCUUCUUUGUCUCUUCUCCUUUACACUCGGCUCCGGAUUUUCUUCGACAGCUCCCUUCUCCAUCCUCUUCCUUCUUUUCCUCCACGGCGCCCUGCCAAGGUCACCGCAGUAUUCGUCGCGCGCCUCACCCAGCCGAGGAGAACGUCGUCGCGUCAGAGAGCGUCGCCGUCUUCCUCGUUCCAGAGAGCAUCGCCGUCUUUCUCGUUCUUCAUCACCGUCGUCAGCCUCUCCCUUCCGAAUGGAGCAAAAUGUAAUAAUCCUGGUUGGUUAAUUACCUUGUGGUUGGUCUUGAACCAAUCACCAAUGAGCAAAGUGAAAUCACCAGCAGGGUUUGGAUAAGGGAUUGGGAUGACAGAUCUGUGAUAGAUAUUGAGUCCUCCAAAUCCUCCAGCGGCUUUGUGAAAUGCAGUUGAUGGAAAGUAGGAAAAGGCAUUGGUGAAGAUGAUGGCUGUUUGAUGUACCUAUCAUCGAAUUACUGCAAGUGCCUAUAAUCUUUUAGAUGUGGUUCUUUACCAAGCAACUUAUGGCCACAAUAUAUCAGCAAAAGGCGGUCGAUAUAAAUGAGAGGGAGCUUGGGCUUGAUCAUCCUGACACAAUAAAAAGCUAUGGGGACCUUUCUGUCUUUUACUAUCGUAUGCAACAAUACGAGCUCGCUUUGAAGUAGGUUACAAUGACUCUCCUCUUCAAAAUGGUUUCGAUGCCUAUGCCAUGAAGAAUUUCUGUUGAUUGUUGUAUUCAGGGCACCAAAAAACUGUGACUCUUUUAAUGCAGUGUGUCAGAUCUUCUGGAUUUUAUAAGUCCCGAGCUUGAUUCUAAUGGAAAUGAACAAGCUCAGAGAAAACAGCAGCGUGGGAAGGUUCUCUGCCAAAUUUUUACAUGGUGUUACCUUAUAUAUUUGACAUUAAUUGCUUUAUUGUUAUAAACUGCUGCUACCUUUGUUUUGUAAAAUUUUCUAUUGUGUUGCCUCAUUAUGCAAGUUGUCGAUUAUAUCUCUAAUCUUUUAGAUACUUCUACCAAUAAGUGAACAAAACCUUCAACGUGAAAAUGCACCAAGCAAUGUGGGUGUUUUCUAUAAUGGCUUGGAAUAUGCUACUGGUACGGCAGAAAACAAAACAAAAGAAAGAUCUGGCAUGGUGGAUUAUGAAGUUAUGAACGAAAAUGGCAAUAAUGUCCCUAUGUAUAGUCCACCAGUGUCAAGUGAAUCUAUUCACCAGGAGGAGACAUCAUCAGAUGAGGGCUGGCAAGAAGCCAAUUCAAAAGGGCGAUCUAGGAACACAGCGAAUCACAAGCUUGGUCGCAAAGGAUCUCAUCUUUCAAAGCUGAGGACUAAUGUUAUCAGAGAAAGUCCACAGAAAUCAAGUUCAAGAGUCUCUCAAAAGUAUUAUCUCCAUCUAGGCAAUCAGAGCCUGAAAACUUGGCUUUCAUAGAAGAUUCUGCCGGUCAACUAAGUCCAACAAAACCUAUUAGAGUGUCUAAAAGUUCUGCUAGCCUAAUACCAUAUGACACGUUCAUGUCUUCUGGAACAAAUUUUUCUUUUCUAUUUAAUAAAAUAACAAAGGAAUUGAACUAU
Non-coding RNA from Arachis ipaensis, 1641 nucleotides. The record is from RefSeq and is a predicted model, not a curated record. NCBI's taxonomy places the organism in Eukaryota, Viridiplantae, Streptophyta, Magnoliopsida, Fabales, Fabaceae.